MicroRNA precursor from Choloepus hoffmanni (Hoffmann's two-fingered sloth), 86 nucleotides. Lineage: Eukaryota; Metazoa; Chordata; Mammalia; Pilosa; Megalonychidae. The record is from Ensembl.
UUGGUACUUGGAGAGAGGUGGUCCGUGGCGCGUUCGCUUUAUACAUGGCGCACAUUACACGGUCGACCUCUUUUCAGUAUCUAAUC